UACGGAGGGUGCGAGCGUUACCCGGAAUCACUGGGCGUAAAGGGCGUGUAGGCGGCGGAGCAAGUCCGGCUUCAAAUCCCGCGGCUCAACCGCGGACCGGGGCCGGAGACUGGACGGCUGGAGAGGGAACUAGAAUUUCUGGUGUAGCGGUGAAAUGCGUAGAGACCAGAAGGAAUACCUAUGGCGAAGGCAGGUUCCUGGACAGUCCGUGACGCUGAGGCGCGAAAGUGUGGGGAGCAAACCGG
Molecule: ribosomal RNA, 245 nt
Filed under: uncultured Deinobacterium sp.
Lineage: Bacteria; Thermotogati; Deinococcota; Deinococci; Deinococcales; Deinococcaceae
Description: partial 16S ribosomal RNA
Rfam family: Bacterial small subunit ribosomal RNA
Source: RNAcentral